This 288-nucleotide long non-coding RNA is filed under the name Phoenix dactylifera (date palm). RNAcentral describes it as "long non-coding RNA (PDAC_LNC000398)". The record is from RNAcentral. Lineage: Eukaryota; Viridiplantae; Streptophyta; Magnoliopsida; Arecales; Arecaceae.
AACAUAACAUACUAAAUAUUUUUUAGAACUAAAAUAUUCUUGAUAACCUCGUCUCUCCUCCAAUGAGAAGCUCCGGCCUCAGCCCCGUUCUCUUCCCCCGCUCCUUAAUUCGACCAUGCGGACAUAUGAGGUUUGAAUCCCAUGCCUUCGAGCUUUCUCAUGAUUCUCAUCUUCUCUAGCCCGCCAUAAGCACACCAUCGCUGGCAGUCGGUCCCUCCUCUGCCUACUUUGUCAUCGGUCGUGCAUUCAUCGAUCUAUUGGCCUCGUCGUCAAUGUUGCCUCCCUCAA